UGGGGAAUUUUGGACAAUGGGCGAAAGCCUGAUCCAGCAAUGCCGCGUGUGUGAAGAAGGCCUUCGGGUUGUAAAGCACUUUUGUCCGGAAAGAAAUCCUUGGCUCUAAUACAGUCGGGGGAUGACGGUACCGGAAGAAUAAGCACCGGCUAACUACGUGCCAGCAGCCGCGGUAAUACGUAGGGUGCAAGCGUUAAUCGGAAUUACUGGGCGUAAAGCGUGCGCAGGCGGUUUGCUAAGACCGAUGUGAAAUCCCCGGGCUCAACCUGGGAACUGCAUUGGUGACUGGCAGGCUAGAGUAUGGCAGAGGGGGGUAGAAUUCCACGUGUAGCAGUGAAAUGCGUAGAGAUGUGGAGGAAUACCGAUGGCGAAGGCAGCCCCCCUGGGCCAAUACUGACGCUCAUGCACGAAAGCGUGGGGAGCAAACAGGAUUAGAUACCCUGGGUAGUCCACGCCCUAAACGAUGUCACUAGUUGUUGGGGAUUCAUUUCCUUAGUAACGUAGCUAACGCGUGAAGUUGACCGCCU
Molecule: ribosomal RNA, 527 nt
Filed under: uncultured bacterium
Lineage: Bacteria
Description: partial 16S ribosomal RNA
Rfam family: Bacterial small subunit ribosomal RNA
Source: RNAcentral